UCCAGUGUUGCUGUGACUGUGGUGUAGGCCGGCAGCUGUAGCUCCGAUUCACCUCUAGCCUGGGAACCUCCACAUGCCACGGGUGUGGUCCUAAAAAGACUAACUAGUUAACUAACUAAAUAAAUGCUGACUUUAAUUUCUUCUCUCAAACCGUCCUCUCAUCCCUCUGAGACCUUAGCUGGUAAUAGUUUCUUCCUACAGCUUUGCCAUAGUUUGGGGAAGAAGCUUUGACUUGCCAGAGGAUCAUCUAAACAGCAGACUUCCAAGGGCACCCCAAGAAUCCUGCCUGCUCCAGAUGUGUUAUGGAAACAUCACCUGUGCAUUAUAAAAAGUUAGAAAGUAAAGGUAAGCCAAACACACUCUCCCCCUUUCUCUUACCUCUCUCCAGAGAUGACCACAGUUAUCCUUGUAGGUUUUUUCCUGUGUGUUUCUGUGUGUGUAUAUGUGUGUGUGUGCACGUGCGCAUAUGUGUAUAUAUAUACGUGUGUGUAUAUACAUGUAUAUAUGCAUAUGCUUUUUUUUACACCAAAAUGAUGUAGCACUGAUUUGUAAUCUGCUUUUUUCAGUGAACCAUUUCCAACCUUUAUUUCAGUAAAUUUCCUUUAAUUCCCUGCCCACAUUCAAUUUCUGUUAUUGGCCCCCAAGUAUACUUUUAAGCCAGUUUGUCCAAAUCAGUAUCUAGUCUAAGACCAUGCAACUGCCCCUGGUUGUAACUUUCUUUUUGUCUCCCAACCCAGCAGAGUCUCUCCCUAACGGAAGGGGCCAGCUGUCCUUAGAAGCCCUCGUCUUCUAGAGCUUCCUGAGGGCGCCGUGGCGCUGGAUUCUUCAACCCCUGCAUUUCCUGUUUCUAGGGAUGGGUUCAAGUUCAUUUUGGGCUGAGGUGAUUCUGGGCACUUCUUCCACCUUCCAGGGACCCAGCAUUAGCAAAGCCCGGGUUGACCCCUGGAUGAGGGUUAUGGCAGCCUUGGACCUUCUGCCAGGCAGUUUCAUUCCCCCCGCUUGACACCAAAAAGUGAUCUUUGAGGUGUAACUUUGAGCGACUCACCACUUACUGAAUGCUUUUAGCACCAAAUGAUAAUUAUUGCCUGAACUUACGUGUAUUCAUUGGGUUUUAAUAAAACAGUGUUUCUCUAAA
This is a long non-coding RNA of Phacochoerus africanus (Common warthog), 1135 nucleotides long. RefSeq lists it as uncharacterized. The record is from RefSeq and is a predicted model, not a curated record. NCBI's taxonomy places the organism in Eukaryota, Metazoa, Chordata, Mammalia, Artiodactyla, Suidae. The transcript is spliced from 2 exons.